AAGUCGUAACAAGGUUUCCGUAGGUGAACCUGCGGAAGGAUCAUUAACACGUAUCCAACGUUAAAACAACCCCGUGAACUUUCAGCUUGCUCCUGUAGCCCGUGAAAGCAGCAAUCCCUGGUAAAUCAUUGUUGACCAGCUUUUGAGUCAGGGACCUCUGCAGAUUGUGAUAUUUUAUAGCUACGGUUGAGCGAUUGCAUCUAGUGACCUGGCAUCCCCAAGUAAUCAGUGUUCUGAAAGUGUCAUUGAUUGUGUAAGGAUGGCGCAGUCACGAUCGCUGUAGGCCCACACGGCCGGCGACCGGGUCACCGGGCUCUGCUCCCACUGUUACGACAAACCUCUGUUCCCCUCUAGUGAAAGCUAUUGGGUUAUAACUAAACGACUGUUAACAAUGGAUAUCUCGAUUCUC
RNAcentral lists this unclassified non-coding RNA (409 nucleotides) under fungal sp. RNAcentral's name for it is "partial internal transcribed spacer region". The stretch from base 1 to 46 matches the Rfam family "Eukaryotic small subunit ribosomal RNA", at positions 1786 to 1831 of the family's 1831-position model. The record is from RNAcentral. Lineage: Eukaryota; Fungi.